Molecule: ribosomal RNA, 253 nt
Filed under: uncultured bacterium
Lineage: Bacteria
Description: partial 16S ribosomal RNA
Rfam family: Bacterial small subunit ribosomal RNA
Source: RNAcentral
UACGAAGGGGGCUAGCGUUGUUCGGAUUUACUGGGCGUAAAGCGCACGUAGGCGGAUCGUUAAGUCGGGGGUGAAAUCCUGGGGCUCAACCCCAGAACUGCCUUCGAUACUGGCGAUCUUGAGUCCGGAAGAGGUGAGUGGAACUCCUAGUGUAGAGGUGGAAUUCGUAGAUAUUAGGAAGAACACCAGUGGCGAAGGCGGCUCACUGGUCCGGUACUGACGCUGAGGUGCGAAAGCGUGGGGAGCAAACAGG